Molecule: long non-coding RNA, 332 nt
Filed under: Elaeis guineensis (African oil palm)
Lineage: Eukaryota; Viridiplantae; Streptophyta; Magnoliopsida; Arecales; Arecaceae
Description: long non-coding RNA (EGUI_LNC048106)
Source: RNAcentral
UUUUUCUUCUUUUUCUUCUUUUUCUUUUAUUUUUCUUCUUUUUCUUCUUUUUUUUCUUCUUCUUCUUCUCUCGGGCUCCUUCCAGGCCGAACAGGGGACCGAUGGUUCUCCUCUUUUGCCAGGCCAUUCAGGCCGUGGCCGCUACGGCGGAGGCCGGCGGCAGAGGGGGGCCACUCCCUCGGUUACGGAAAAGCAUGUCCGGCGGUCGAUUGCGAUCAUCGGUGCCGAAAAAUUCAAGGAAAAAGAGGCCAAAACAGGGGUCUCUUUUCCGACCAAAAAUCGGCGACAACCGUCGCCGGCAGUCGCGCACAAAGGCACGGGGAGAAGGGGAA